Molecule: ribosomal RNA, 1160 nt
Filed under: Escherichia coli
Lineage: Bacteria; Pseudomonadati; Pseudomonadota; Gammaproteobacteria; Enterobacterales; Enterobacteriaceae
Description: partial 23S ribosomal RNA
Rfam family: Bacterial large subunit ribosomal RNA
Source: RNAcentral
AAUGGGUCAGCGACUUAUAUUCUGUAGCAAGGUUAACCGAAUAGGGGAGCCGAAGGGAAACCGAGUCUUAACUGGGCGUUAAGUUGCAGGGUAUAGACCCGAAACCCGGUGAUCUAGCCAUGGGCAGGUUGAAGGUUGGGUAACACUAACUGGAGGACCGAACCGACUAAUGUUGAAAAAUUAGCGGAUGACUUGUGGCUGGGGGUGAAAGGCCAAUCAAACCGGGAGAUAGCUGGUUCUCCCCGAAAGCUAUUUAGGUAGCGCCUCGUGAAUUCAUCUCCGGGGGUAGAGCACUGUUUCGGCAAGGGGGUCAUCCCGACUUACCAACCCGAUGCAAACUGCGAAUACCGGAGAAUGUUAUCACGGGAGACACACGGCGGGUGCUAACGUCCGUCGUGAAGAGGGAAACAACCCAGACCGCCAGCUAAGGUCCCAAAGUCAUGGUUAAGUGGGAAACGAUGUGGGAAGGCCCAGACAGCCAGGAUGUUGGCUUAGAAGCAGCCAUCAUUUAAAGAAAGCGUAAUAGCUCACUGGUCGAGUCGGCCUGCGCGGAAGAUGUAACGGGGCUAAACCAUGCACCGAAGCUGCGGCAGCGACACUAUGUGUUGUUGGGUAGGGGAGCGUUCUGUAAGCCUGUGAAGGUGUACUGUGAGGUAUGCUGGAGGUAUCAGAAGUGCGAAUGCUGACAUAAGUAACGAUAAAGCGGGUGAAAAGCCCGCUCGCCGGAAGACCAAGGGUUCCUGUCCAACGUUAAUCGGGGCAGGGUGAGUCGACCCCUAAGGCGAGGCCGAAAGGCGUAGUCGAUGGGAAACAGGUUAAUAUUCCUGUACUUGGUGUUACUGCGAAGGGGGGACGGAGAAGGCUAUGUUGGCCGGGCGACGGUUGUCCCGGUUUAAGCGUGUAGGCUGGUUUUCCAGGCAAAUCCGGAAAAUCAAGGCUGAGGCGUGAUGACGAGGCACUACGGUGCUGAAGCAACAAAUGCCCUGCUUCCAGGAAAAGCCUCUAAGCAUCAGGUAACAUCAAAUCGUACCCCAAACCGACACAGGUGGUCAGGUAGAGAAUACCAAGGCGCUUGAGAGAACUCGGGUGAAGGAACUAGGCAAAAUGGUGCCGUAACUUCGGGAGAAGGCACGCUGAUAUGUAGGUGAAGUCCCUCGCGG